This 467-nucleotide ribosomal RNA is filed under the name uncultured archaeon. RNAcentral's name for it is "bacterial SSU rRNA". It matches the Rfam family "Archaeal small subunit ribosomal RNA", at positions 1 to 473 of the family's 1478-position model. The record is from RNAcentral.
UUCUGGUUGAUCCUGCCGGAGGUCACUGCUAUUGGGAUUCGACUAAGCCAUGCGAGUCGAGAGGGUUCGGCCCUCGGCAGACGGCUCAGUAACACGUGGAUAAUCUGCCCUUAGGUGGAGGAUAAUCUCGGGAAACUGAGGAUAAUACUCCAUAGAUCUAGGAUGCUGGAAUGCACUUAGAUUAAAAGUCUUGGCGCCUAAGGAUGAGUCUGCGGACUAUCAGGUAGUAGUCAGGGUAAAGGCCUGACUAGCCUACGACGGAUACGGGUUGUGAGAGCAAUAACCCGGAGACGAUAUCUGAGACACGAUAUCGGGCCCUACGGGGCGCAGCAGGCGCGAAAACUUCACACUGUGCGAAAGCACGAUGAGGGAAUCCCAAGUGCUUGCUCGUAAGAGUAAGCUGUUUUUAUGUCUAAAAAGCAUAGAGAGUAAGGGCUGGGUAAGACGGGUGCCAGCCGCCGCGGUAA